AACGAACGCUGGCGGCAUGCCUAACACAUGCAAGUCGAACGAGACCUUCGGGUCUAGUGGCGCACGGGUGCGUAACGCGUGGGAACCUGCCUUUAGGUUCGGAAUAACUCAGAGAAAUUUGAGCUAAUACCGGAUGAUGUCUUCGGACCAAAGAUUUAUCGCCUUUAGAUGGGCCCGCGUAAGAUUAGCUAGUUGGUGGGGUAAAGGCCUACCAAGGCGACGAUCUUUAGCUGGUCUGAGAGGAUGAUCAGCCACACUGGGACUGAGACACGGCCCAGACUCCUACGGGAGGCAGCAGUGGGGAAUAUUGGACAAUGGGCGAAAGCCUGAUCCAGCAAUGCCGCGUGAGUGAUGAAGGCCUUAGGGUUGUAAAGCUCUUUUACCCGAGAUGAUAAUGACAGUAUCGGGAGAAUAAGCUCCGGCUAACUCCGUGCCAGCAGCCGCGGUAAAGUGACUACU
This 459-nucleotide ribosomal RNA is filed under the name uncultured bacterium. RNAcentral's name for it is "bacterial SSU rRNA". It matches the Rfam family "Bacterial small subunit ribosomal RNA", at positions 29 to 533 of the family's 1533-position model. The record is from RNAcentral.